CCAUUCUCCUGCCUCAGCCUCCCGAGUAGCUGGGACUACAGGCGUGCAGCACCAUGUCUGGCUAAUUUUUGUAUUUUUAGUAGAGACGGGGUUUCGCCAUGUUGGCCAGACUGGUCUCGAACUCCUAAGCUCAGGCGAUCCACCCACCUCGGCCUCACAAAGUGCUGGGAUUACAGGCGUGAGCCACGCUGCCUGGCCUUUCCUUCCAUUUUUAUUCUU
This 219-nucleotide long non-coding RNA is filed under the name Homo sapiens (human). RNAcentral's name for it is "HSALNT0333432". The record is from RNAcentral. Lineage: Eukaryota; Metazoa; Chordata; Mammalia; Primates; Hominidae.